AUUGUCGAAACCUGCAAAAGUAGAGCGACUAGAGAACCAGUUAA
RNAcentral lists this ribosomal RNA (44 nucleotides) under Cuphea repens. RNAcentral describes it as "partial 18S ribosomal RNA". The record is from RNAcentral. Lineage: Eukaryota; Viridiplantae; Streptophyta; Magnoliopsida; Myrtales; Lythraceae.